UAUCACUUUUAUAAGCUUCUCCUUGGUUCUAGCGUUCAUAUAAAUAAAAGAGACAAACAUGUAUGAUUUACAACUCUAGAUUAACCAACCCAACUGAUUCAACAUGUUUAGUCCUUUCAUCCUUGUUCUUAGUACUACCUCCAUGAUCCCACACUCCUAAUCAUAUGAGCUAAAAUGUUACACAUUCAAUCAUUGAGAGAUAUAAAGAAAAAGACACAUACAUAGAUAGAUUAUCUUUCCAUAAGGUUGAGCGAUCUGAUCUAACAAAUGUUAUAAGUGCUACACUCAUGAACUUUUCAUCCAUCAACUUUGUCUUGCUCACUAUGCUUAGGGUUAGAGAAGAACAAAUACACUUUAGGUUCUGUUGGUGUUUUCCACCAAUAGGACCCAUGCACUUGAUCUCUACCUUGUCUCUAUGAGCAGGUACACUUUGAGCAAAACACGGAGGAGUUUUAUAACUCUCAGACUCUACCAAGUGAAGGACCUGGAUCUACGAGCACAAACACACUAAGCAGGUUACUACCAACGCCGCACUUCGAACUGCUGGGCAAAGGAAGAACAUGAGUGACACCGUAUCAAGAGGUGCAGACGUCAAGGUCCGCACCUGAAUCAAAUGACGCACCUGAAGAAUGAACACGGUGAGAAGUCUUGUUAAGAAGACUUAAAACACUAAACCAUCGCCGAAAGGUAAGAUCGGUAGUUAUCCAUAUUUAUCCUUUCUGCAUUCCCUUUUUCCUUUAAUUAUUUACUUUCCUUAAAUAUAUUAUUAGUUAAUCAUGUUAUCUUGAAAAGAAAAUAAAAAUAUUAAAAAAUACUAAGCCCCAUGUGAGUAUACAAGUGGCAUAAAACCCCUAAGUACCUUCACUGUGGUGGCAUAAAAAUAAAAUAAAUAUUUCUUUUCUGCUUUAUAAAAUAAAAAUAUAAAAAUAGGGAGUAAUAUUUAUUGAGGAAGCUCAACAUGAUGAAGGCUAGAUAUUUAUUCUAACACUUAAUUAGUUCCACAAGCUUUGUUGUCUAUUUGAGCUUCACAGAAUUUAAGAAUCAACAAGACUAGCAGACGGAGGACAUUCUAAUCGCUGUCAGAAUGCUGCUGACUUUCAAAUAUACCUCUACCACCUGUUAGGUACAUCAAGAGAAAUUACGUCAAAAUUCAGCUUGGGGGAGAGCACCCCCAUUUAUCUCGCUAAGUAUUUCUACCUAUCUUUAUACUUAUAUUAUAUUAGAAUAUUAAAAUACAUAAACUAUAAAAACCAAAUAAAGAUUUUGUGCUUAUAUAUGUCUUUUGCUUAGUGUGUUUAAUAAAUAAAUAAAGUGGCUAUGCUAAUCUGAAUCUUAAUAAUAAAACUCUAGCAUGGAUAUGAUGAAUAGUUGCUCUGCCUAAUUUGCAAAUUUGAAGUUCUCUCUCAAAUUUAGACAUAACUGUUAUAAUUUAAAGCUUGCUCUAGAUCUAAACUUGUGGGAUAAAAACUUGAUCUGAAAUCUAAGUUGUUAACGGAUAUGAUAUGGGAAGGUUGAGCUGUUGUUUAUCUGUUCUUAGAGAUGCUAGAAUUCUAGAGAAUUUUAUCUUUAAAAAAUCUUUAAAAUAUUGCAUGUUGAGUUCCUGUAUGAUGAAAGUUUAAAUUCCUACCGCAGCCAUAUAUACAUGCUUGCUAGACUUUGAGCCACACAUUUACUAUUUACUGCUUAUAAGCAUUGAGUGUGGUCAAGCUGUGUAGACCCUUAGGAGCUUGUCAUGUGGUUAAAUCAAGAUUCACUUGCACGGUCACUCAUAUAUGCUACUUCUACUCCGGAAGUACCAUCCACAUAUAUCCAUCUCCAGAACCACCCAAAAAUAUUCUACUCCUAAUCCGCGAGAGAAUAGCCAAAAAUAUUUCUGUUUUCCCUUGUGAAAUAAAUUCUCAAGUUAUCUUACUACUACCACUUGCUAUAUUAUCUCAAGAGAUGAGUGCUGUGAAAAAAAAGAAAAGAGAAGAAAAGAAAAAAAAUAAACGAGGAAAUAAAAAGGGGCAAGUGCCCGGAACCUCGAAAGAAAGAAAAAGUGAGACGAGAGGUAAAAAUGGACAAGUGUCCGACAGUAGAAUUAGGGGUACAGAAUACCCACCUGAGAGGAAAAAAAAUGAAGGAUAGAGCAUCUCAUUCUCCCCAUAAAGUUUCAAAAAGCAAGGAAGGUAUGUAUCCCCUCAAAAGAGCAAAAGUAGAAUUAGACUUCCACCAUUGUUAUCACCAUCAUCACCAUACACCAUUCAUUCGCCACACAUGCACAUCUUGAUUUGACUUAUUGACUUGUUUCUCUGGAUCCAUGGUUUGACUAUGCAAUAAAUGUCUUGUAAGUAUGUAUUAGCUGUCUCCACCUAUGAGCUCCAGAUAUUAAAGCCUUAUUAGAGUAGGGUGAGAGAGAAGGCAAUGUCACUAUGCCUUAUACCACAAAUACCAUAUAUCUUGAGAGAAGGCAUAUACCAUCACUGCCUUGGUAAGGAUCCAGAAAUACCACAAAAGAGAGAUUUAGAGAGUCAUGCAAGGAAUCUCUGAGUUUUAUUUGAAAAUCUGCAAAAACUCCAGAGCUAUAGCUGAUCAAGAAUAAGAGACAUGGCACUUGGCUGGACUGUUCUAUCUUUUAACUACUCAAGACAGAAGUGACGGUUACAAGUCCCAUGGUGGAAGGUAAAGUAAGUAAGUUUUAGAUCUUGACAGUUUACUCUAACUCAGAGAUGAGAUCUUAUUUAAAAGCAUGUGUACCGUCAAAUUUUUAAGAUAUUGCAACAACUUCUGAUCCAUUGCUGAGUCUAUCCUUGCUCAGGGACGAGCAAGAGGUAAGCUUGGGGGAGUUUGUUGACGGUCCUUAAGUAUCAAAUUUAAUUAUCAAAUAAAUAAAGAAAAAGAUCCAAAUGAAAUCAACAUCUAGACUUAGGGUUUUAUCUCACAGAAUUCCAUGAGUUUUGGUGUUUGUCUAUUUCUACAGGGGGUUAUCAGGAAAUAUGGAAGAAAGGCCCACACGUCGGGAUUACAUAGAGAUAUUAACGUGCCGCGAAAUUAUCUUACAUCUAGAAGACUCCAGAAGCCACGAGACCGAAGCGGAGGUG
This 3080-nucleotide long non-coding RNA is filed under the name Sorghum bicolor (sorghum). RNAcentral describes it as "long non-coding RNA (SBIC_LNC015906)". Lineage: Eukaryota; Viridiplantae; Streptophyta; Magnoliopsida; Poales; Poaceae. The record is from RNAcentral.